GGACUCCUAGUUUAACGGUAGAACAUUCGACUUCGGAUCGAAAUAUUCGGGUUCGAUUCCCGGGGAGUUCA
Transfer RNA from Nosema bombycis CQ1, 71 nucleotides. It matches the Rfam family "tRNA". Rfam says of the family: Transfer RNA (tRNA) molecules are approximately 80 nucleotides in length. Lineage: Eukaryota; Fungi; Microsporidia; Nosematidae. The record is from Rfam.